ACGCUCGACACCUACGGGAGGAGCAGUGGGGAAUAUUGCACAAUGGGGGAAACCCUGAUGCAGCAACGCCGCGUGAAGGAAGACGGUUUUCGGAUUGUAAACUUCUGUUCUUAGUGAAGAUAGUGACGGUAGCUAAGGAGCAAGCCACGGCUAACUACGUGCCUGCAGCCGCGGUAAUCUGAGGCGGGCUGGCAAGGC
RNAcentral lists this ribosomal RNA (198 nucleotides) under uncultured bacterium. RNAcentral describes it as "partial 16S ribosomal RNA". It matches the Rfam family "Bacterial small subunit ribosomal RNA", at positions 328 to 539 of the family's 1533-position model. The record is from RNAcentral.